CGUAAUCUAACCCUGUAGAUCCGGGCUUUUGUAGAGUUAGUCAGAAGCUCGCCUUUACAGGUAUCUUACGG
This 71-nucleotide microRNA precursor is filed under the name Strigamia maritima. RNAcentral describes it as "mir-10 microRNA precursor family". It matches the Rfam family "mir-10 microRNA precursor family". Rfam says of the family: In this case the mature sequence comes from the 5' arm of the precursor. The extents of the hairpin precursors are not generally known and are estimated based on hairpin prediction. Lineage: Eukaryota; Metazoa; Arthropoda; Chilopoda; Geophilomorpha; Linotaeniidae. The record is from RNAcentral.